GGUGAGUAAUAUAUCGGAACGUGCCCUGUAGCGGGGGAUAACUACUCGAAAGACUGGCUAAUACCGCAUACGCCCUACGGGGGAAAGGGGGGGAUCGCAAGACCUCUCACUAUUGGAGCGGCCCAUAUCGGAUUAGCUAGUUGGUGGGGUAAAGGCUCACCAAGGCAACGAUCCGUAUCUGGCUUGAGAGGACGACCAGCCACACUGGGACUGAGACACGGCCCGAACUCCUACGGGAGGCAGCACUGGGGAAUUUUGGACAAUGGGGGAAACCCUGAUCCUGCCAUCCCGCGUGUAUGAUGAAGGCCUUCGGGUUGUAAAGUACUUUUGGCACAGAAAAAAAGGCAUCCCCUAAUACGGGAUGCUGCUGACGGUAUCUGCAGAAUAAGCACCGGCUAACUACGUGCCAGCAGCCGCGGUAAUACGUACGGUGCAAGCGUUAAUCGGAAUUACUGGGCGUAAAGCGUGUGUAGGCGGUUCGGAAAGAAAGAUGUGAAAUCCCAGGGCUCAA
RNAcentral lists this ribosomal RNA (511 nucleotides) under Alcaligenes sp. SCAUE9013. RNAcentral's name for it is "bacterial SSU rRNA". It matches the Rfam family "Bacterial small subunit ribosomal RNA", at positions 105 to 612 of the family's 1533-position model. The record is from RNAcentral. Lineage: Bacteria; Pseudomonadati; Pseudomonadota; Betaproteobacteria; Burkholderiales; Alcaligenaceae.